CUGAGGAAGUGAUCCGUUGCUGUUUUUGCUAUUUUUGGGGAUUCUUAUUGGCUUACGUGGGCUUGAGCUUCUCGUUACACUGCCCCCUACAGGUAUGUGCUAGCUGC
Long non-coding RNA from Etheostoma spectabile (orangethroat darter), 107 nucleotides. RefSeq lists it as uncharacterized. The transcript is spliced from 3 exons. The record is from RefSeq and is a predicted model, not a curated record. Lineage: Eukaryota; Metazoa; Chordata; Actinopteri; Perciformes; Percidae.